Brassica napus (rape) is the source of this 1615-nucleotide long non-coding RNA. RefSeq lists it as uncharacterized. NCBI's taxonomy places the organism in Eukaryota, Viridiplantae, Streptophyta, Magnoliopsida, Brassicales, Brassicaceae. The record is from RefSeq and is a predicted model, not a curated record. The transcript has 5 exons.
GCAGAGGCCUAAAAAUCUAUUCGACAACAAACACCGUCUUCCUCUUCUCCCAAACCCGAACUCCCACCGUCUGUUAGAGAUCACGAACGUAACGACUCGCCGCAACACGAAAGGUCGCAACAUAAAACGAUAGACAUCUACACUAUAAAUAAUGAGGACGCCAUGAUCAAUUUCCUCAAUGCAAAUAACCUGCAACCUUUCGUGACCUCUCAUCUCCUCUCCUGCUGUUAGAUUUAAAGUCCGGUUGUUCUCCGCUGGCGGUGGUCAUGCUCCUGAUUAAUGAAAAGUCUGUCCCCCUUAUCUUACAUUUCCUUCUUUUAAUCAGUGGCUUUGAUGUUACGAGAAGCAACCACCGUUUCAAACUUUCAGAUUCAUCCAUAGGUUUAAGUUAUUUGCGUUCAGAUAGAUUCGUUCAUUGCUAUAUGAGAACAGAGUACAUGCUUUUGGAUUAGCAGAAGAAUCUAAGAAUUGCUGAUUUUGGAGUGGCUAGAGUUACUUAGAAUCCAAAGGACAUGGUUGGAGAAACUGGUACUCUUGGAUACAUGGCCCCGUAGGUUCUUCAUGAUAAAGCCAUACAACAGAAGAUGCAAUGUUUAUAGCUUUGGGAUAUGUUGUGGGAGAUUUAUUGUUGUGCUACUCCAUCCUGAUCUCGCCUUUGCUGAUGUUAUUUCUGCUUUUGUUCAGGGUUAAUAGAGAAAAUGAAACAGCCUAUCGAUUUGCAAUUCGGUUUUAGUUUCCUGCUCUGAUUGAUGCAGUGUUGGUCAUGUGUUUGGUUUGGUAUUAGUCUAUUUGAGUUGAAUUCAAGUUGGCUUGGUUAGAAAUAACGUUAAGAUUACUCUUUCUACGAAUAUAAAAUGGUUUAGUUGAUAUAAUAUUUUAUGUAAUAUGACUAUUAGAUUCGGAUGUGUUUUUUUCCCCUAAGAUUGUGUUGAUGGUUUAGAUUUUGGCAAAAUUAAUAACAAAUUAUCUUCAAUUGAUUUUGAUGUUUUAGAAUUUAAAAUCGGGAAUUCAAUUGAUUUGCAAAAAAAUUGGGUUUGGUUAUUCCUAGCUUUAUUUAUUUGUUGAUCUAUUCAUUUGUGUCGAUUGGAGAAUAAGCUUAUGAUUGGAUUUCAUUACCCCUUUUUUUCUAUUCUUUCUUCUUGAUAAUAAAAUGGAGGAAGAACAAAGAGAAUAAUAUAAUUAAAAGAGUUUAAGAGUACAUAACACCAAUAUCAUAUACAUGCGCCUGCAAGCCUACAAGGUUCUCAUACCAAAACGUAUGGUAAGCGAGUGAGGGCACAUACAUUGGUAUGAGAACCAUGUAGGCUUGUAGCUGUUCUGUUCAUGUGGAAGAAAGUCACUGAAGUAAGAUUGUAGCCGGAACAAACAUUCGAGUCUUACUUGAACACCAUUUGGAUUUAAAUAUUAUAAAGCCUUUUUUUUCUAUUGGUUGAGGUCUACUAGAUUAAUAAUGUUAAAUCAAUCAAUUAUAUGACAACACAUGAGUUACAAAUAUUGUUUUUAUUAUUAUAGAUGCCAGUUAGUCAAUGAGAUUAAAAUAUUUGUAUUUUUGUUUAAUUGGUUUAAACAUAACCUGAGACCGGUAAUACUGAGAUGUUGUCCAACAUCAUUAUCG